GCUUCACGAAAGGACGAGCAGACUUCACCAUCCACUGUCCUAAGGUGUUCAAAGGAGGUGGCGCCAGUCACAUGGGUUAGCAGCACCCUAAGGUACUUGCCAAGUAAAUGCCUCUGGAAAAUCCUUGUAGAGGAUUCCUCGAGCAUCUUCGUUAACUUUAUUUGCCUCAAAAUACUCAGUUAGCAUACUCUUCUCGACGCCAUUUCUCUCUACGACAUCAUGGAGAUCUUGCCCCGCACGAAAUGAGACCAUGUGCAUGUUUGGAAGAUGCAGUUGUAGCUGUUUCACAGGCGGAUGUACCUUACUAAGGUCAAAGCUAUAUAUACGCCAUAGUGCUUCUGGUGGGGUGACCCACCUUGCAUCUCUAUAUUGUUGAAUCUCAUCAAUGUUGCCAUUGCUAUCGGCCUC
This 408-nucleotide small RNA is filed under the name Oryza sativa Japonica Group (Japanese rice). RNAcentral's name for it is "sRNA Os10g0192301". The record is from RNAcentral. Lineage: Eukaryota; Viridiplantae; Streptophyta; Magnoliopsida; Poales; Poaceae.